UUUCUUUUCAUCCCAAACACUUCUCCCUCGCAGAAAAACCCUAAUUUUUCUUUUCUUUUUUCUAUUUGUAUGUGUGUUUUUGUUCGGUGCUUUCUCACUAAAUUAAGUUUUGUUGAUUUCGUUUUUUCAAUUGUUCAGAUCUAUAUAUAACUGGAUUGAAGCAAUUAGGUAUUAAUAUUAGGGUUUCAUGCACUGACAAACAUUAAUCGAGCCAUAUCUUUGAUAUACUAUUCAAUCCUGCUAAUCCAGUUAACAAAAAUAUGGUUCUUCUCUGUUUGGUAAACCCUAACCCUAAACUGUGAUUGCCGGGAAGAUAUCGUCAUGCAUAUUAUUGCACAUGGGAACAUUAAGUGCUUCCAUAUUCAUCUUUAUUUUCAUCCAUGUAUCUUGACCGGAAGUAGCUACCGGAAAAAUAAGGGUUUGAAAUUGUUAGAAUUUUAGCUUGGAUUUCCACCCUUGCUCAAUACAGUGCAAACUGAGUGAAAAAAAGUAAAGAAUCCUAUCUAAGGUAUUACACAUCAUUUCACUUUCCCCACAAUCGACACCACAACAGACUAUGUGAUAGUAAUGCACCUGUAUCCUUGCAUUGGGUAAAAUUUGUGUUAAUGACCAUUCAAUGUGCAUCAGUUGGCAACACAGAGAGCAACUUUGUAUUGUCAUCAAUACGUCAACAAAGUUCAUUCUGGCAAAACCCAUAAACAAAAAAAACACAGUCUUGCACUGACAAACAAGAGAAGCCGCUACGUCGACUGGUGAGAUUUUCUUUUUCUGAUCAACACUGGUUUCCAUUUUUUUGUGUUUUCAAAUAUUGAUCUCUUUGAAUAUAUCUAAUUAGCUUUUGUGUUGUGCUAUAUUAGUUUUUAUAAGGUUAAACUCCAAAAGCCAUAUUUUAAAUUUUGUGUAGUAGAUAUAUGUGAUUUUAUUGAUGAUGGGCAUUCACUGGAUCCAUAACUAGCUGAGUAAUUUGGAGUCAAGACAACUGAUUUAUUCAUGUCAACCUGAUAGCGGUCACCAAAUGCUCAGCCAGAUCAAACUGUAUUUUAACAUUCAGUUGUUGUUGAUACAGUACUAAGGUGCAACCUCUGAGGCAAAAAAAUUCUACUCAAUCAGGUAAUCAAAGCAAAAUUAAAUGUUGAUUAUGGGAGUGUUAGCUAUAAAAGCUAACUGCAUAAUUUAAAUUUCUACAAAUCCUAAACCUUUUGGUGGUUUUAUGAAAUUUGUUAUUUUCGAUUUUAUGUGAGACUUUUGAUGAAAUUUAUAGCUUUUAUUUACUGAUUCAUGUUUGUAUUACUCAUCAAAGUUGGGUCAUUAAAGUUAAUUUCCUUUUUAUGUUUACUUGACGGGAACAAGAUCACAACUAUUGACGCUUUAAAAAGAAACAUUAUAUGGUCUCUGUACAAAUGGUAAUCUACUGUAUUUUGUUUUUCUUGUUGUUUAAUUAAGAAGUUAAAUUAACAAGUGCUUUAAUGUGGUAUUGUUAAAUUAACAAGUGCUUUAGUGUGAUUUGAUAUGAAUGAUAGCAGUUUUGCGGGUUUUAUCAUUUAGACGUAUUGAUGAUUUGAACGAAAAAUAAUUUCCUUUCACAGCUUGGAGAUUUCCCAUUAUGUUAAUGGAUGCCUCUUUCUUUCUGCAUUAUAGGCAUUUAUAUUUCUUUAUAGUUGUUAUUGUUCCCAACUACCGGUAGAAAGUACCAAGGUUUGGCUGCUUUUUGGUAAUGCAGCUUCGGUUUUGGUUUGCCGAGUUUAUGGGGACCCUAAAAUAGCCGGAGGAAAUAAUUACUAUUGGCAAGCUUGCGGGUACUUGAAAUGUCUUCCUUAGACCCACCCAAUGGAGAGAUUGGUUGAGAAGCUGGUGAUAGAGGUGUCCUAUUUGAUGCGGGAGAUGCUAGAAAUGAUACACGUUAUGGGGCGAAUGGUGAUUUGAUACUGAAUCUGAGGUGGGACGUCAAUGGGAUUUUUUAUUUGGUUGUAGUGAUGGCGGUGAUUUCGAGAUUUUUAGGAAAUCUAUACUAUGUAAGUCAUAAUGCGAUUACUAUGUAUGCUAUAAUUUUAGCUGCAUCAAAAUUAAUUAUAGCAUUUUGGCUUUUGUACAGUGCUUGGCUCAUGUAGUGAUUUUGAUCUCAUCAAUCAUAGAUGAUUUUUUUUAUGCA
This is a long non-coding RNA of Papaver somniferum (opium poppy), 2149 nucleotides long. RefSeq lists it as uncharacterized. The transcript is spliced from 4 exons. NCBI's taxonomy places the organism in Eukaryota, Viridiplantae, Streptophyta, Magnoliopsida, Ranunculales, Papaveraceae. The record is from RefSeq and is a predicted model, not a curated record.